AAAGAGGAGCUUUUAAUGAAUCCUGUAAGUGAUGAGAUUUUGUAUACUUUUGUUAGUCUAAAUUUGCUGCUUUGUAGAGUACUCUAUGAAACUAAAAUCUUUCUAUGGUCAUGAUACUACAAAGCUGUUUGCCCUGUUGCUGAGGAUUCUUUUAAUCUUGUAUCUUGAUCUAAUUUUUUCAAAUCAUGGAAUUCUGGGAAGUCCUUAAAAAGUUUAAAGGUUGGCAGCGCAGUUAAACCAUAAAACCUGCACUUAAAAUAAUUAGUUGAAUCUCCAUACUAUUUUUAUGCUUGCAUGAUUAGUUGAGUUGGCUUUACUCGUCACAAGUAGGAUACUUGCACAAGAUGAUGAAUUACUCAAUUUCUUGCAAUAAGGAUCUAUUUUGCAUUUCUUUUAGUACUUUAUUCCUGUAAAUAGUUUUGGAUCUCUGAUUGUUUUUGUGGCUAGUUAGUCGGAAAUCACAAGGAGGUU
This 471-nucleotide unclassified non-coding RNA is filed under the name Hevea brasiliensis (rubber tree). Lineage: Eukaryota; Viridiplantae; Streptophyta; Magnoliopsida; Malpighiales; Euphorbiaceae. The record is from RNAcentral.